RNAcentral lists this ribosomal RNA (746 nucleotides) under uncultured bacterium. RNAcentral's name for it is "bacterial SSU rRNA". It matches the Rfam family "Bacterial small subunit ribosomal RNA", at positions 60 to 803 of the family's 1533-position model. The record is from RNAcentral.
AGUCGACGGGGAUUACACGGUGAUGCGAUUUCGGUCAAUCAAGUGCAAUCUUAGUGGCGGACGGGUGAGUAACGCGUGGGUAACCUGCCUUGCACUGGGGGAUAACACUUAGAAAUAGGUGCUAAUACCGCAUAAGCGCACGGUCCUGCAUGGGACAGUGUGAAAAACUCCGGUGGUGCAAGAUGGACCCGCGUCUGAUUAGCUGGUUGGCGGGGUAAAGGCCCACCAAGGCGACGAUCAGUAGCCGGCCUGAGAGGGUGGACGGCCACAUUGGGACUGAGACACGGCCCAAACUCCUACGGGAGGCAGCAGUGGGGGAUAUUGGACAAUGGGGGGAACCCUGAUCCAGCGACGCCGCGUGAGUGAAGAAGUAUUUCGGUAUGUAAAGCUCUGUCAGCAGGGAAGAAAGCAAUGACGGUACCUGACCAAGAAGCCCCGGCUAACUACGUGCCAGCAGCCGCGGUAAUACGUAGGGGGCAAGCGUUAUCCGGAAUUACUGGGUGUAAAGGGAGCGUAGACGGCUGUGCAAGUCUGGAGUGAAAGGCGGGGGCCCAACCCCCGGACUGCUCUGGAAACUGUAUGGCUGGAGUGCAGGAGAGGUAAGCGGAAUUCCUAGUGUAGCGGUGAAAUGCGUAGAUAUUAGGAGGAACACCAGUGGCGAAGGCGGCUUACUGGACUGUAACUGACGUUGAGGCUCGAAAGCGUGNGGAGCAAACAGGAUUAGANACCCUGGUAGUCCACGCCGU